AAGGAACGUCACUGAAGACAGUAGAAGUAGGCCAGAUGAUGUUGUUGGUGGCAAUGCAGGGAUGGAAGCCAUUGACAAGAAGGGUGAGAUAGCUUUGGUAGAACCAGAUCCAUCGAUAUUGGGUUUAAGAGUAAUAUAGUCUCGAAUUCCAAUAUCUACAAAAGUUGGGAAACUGAAACAACAGGGCAAGAAUAACUGAAAUGGAAAGCUUU
This 212-nucleotide unclassified non-coding RNA is filed under the name Hevea brasiliensis (rubber tree). Lineage: Eukaryota; Viridiplantae; Streptophyta; Magnoliopsida; Malpighiales; Euphorbiaceae. The record is from RNAcentral.